UUGGAGGUUAGAGAGAAAAAGAGUGUGGCGAAGGGUUUUUAUAGCAAUGGGAGGGUUGCUUUUUUGUUUUGGAGUGCGAGGGGUUUCCCGUGAAAAAUGGUUUGAAGGUUUUAAUGGCGGAAACUGGCGAUAGCUGGCUUACUUAGGCUUGGAGGAGAAGCAAUUCCUUGCUGAAUCUGUGUUACUUUUUGUUUCUUCAAUGCCUUUGCCUUUGCCUUUUCAUCAUUUCUACUUCUCUCUCUCUCCCACUCACACACUUUUGCUUUCUCUCUCUAUCCGCUUCAGCUAAAAUACAAAUCGCUACCAUCUAUGUAUGGCUGGCAAACUAGAAUACAUUAUACACGCUAAUUUUCUCACUCUUUCUUGCUUCGGAGCAGCUUCGGCUCAAACCUACAGCUUCGUAUUAAACGGUUGUCCGAGCCUACCUGGGCUCCAAUCCAAUCCAUGUGUACGUUUUAGGUGGGAAACACUGCUGACAACGUUGUUGGUUAGCUAGUUAAACGCCUGAUGCGUUAAUUCUUUUUUUUUCUAUGCAUGUGCAUGUGACACGUCAGAUAUUAUUAUUAUUUAUUUAUUUGUAAAUGUAAACGUUACUCGUUUGUUUUUUUUGAAGGGAGGAUUGUUGGGUCACGGUCUAAGACUGACAGCUAAGAAGUUCAUGUUAAAGUAAGAAGUAGACUGAUCUGGGUUGAAUUGAGAUUCAGUUUCAGUUGAUGAUGAAGACCAUGGUUUAUGGCAGUCGAGCUCAUACUCACAUGCUUCUUGUGACAUGCAAGGGUUAUCUGUCAACUUUGUCUGCAUUGCAAAAAUCUUAUUACACAAAUAAAUGUCUCCACCUUGUUUUGGUUCCACUCAUUUACUUCAAAGGAUGUGGUCAUCAUUGAUCAAGCCAUGAAGGGUGACCAUUACAUACGUUACAAUCUCAUUGUUUAAAUAUAAUAUUAAAUGUGAUGUUAUGUUAUAAAUGUAUGGACUUGUUUUAAAUACAAGCCAAAUUACUUUUUCCGUUUUAAUGUUACAAACAUUUCCCCUUCUUUUAUUACUGCACCUUCCAUGUAUAUAUAUAACCGCC
RNAcentral lists this long non-coding RNA (1072 nucleotides) under Phaseolus vulgaris (common bean). RNAcentral describes it as "long non-coding RNA (PVUL_LNC005166)". Lineage: Eukaryota; Viridiplantae; Streptophyta; Magnoliopsida; Fabales; Fabaceae. The record is from RNAcentral.